UGGAAUACUCCUUUGUUGAUGGCUUAGUCC
RNAcentral lists this non-coding RNA (30 nucleotides) under Mus musculus (house mouse). Lineage: Eukaryota; Metazoa; Chordata; Mammalia; Rodentia; Muridae. The record is from RNAcentral.